Hippocampus zosterae (dwarf seahorse) is the source of this 1462-nucleotide long non-coding RNA. RefSeq lists it as uncharacterized. The record is from RefSeq and is a predicted model, not a curated record. The transcript is spliced from 2 exons. NCBI's taxonomy places the organism in Eukaryota, Metazoa, Chordata, Actinopteri, Syngnathiformes, Syngnathidae.
UUGAAAACGUCCUUUGAUUGACGUCACAUCUGUUGAGAAAUGGCGUCGCUGUUGUGCGCGCUUCUGAAUUUUCAUUUUUUUUGUCUCUUGAUUGACAUGAUAGUCAUUGACAAAUUGUGCUGCUAAUGUUUAAUACAUCGGAAGAUAAGUAAUUGAGCAGAGAAAAGCCGUUCCCACGUUGCCACACAUUGUCGUUUGAUUGAUAUCACAUCAGUUGAGAAGCUAAAUUCUAUUACAUCUGAUUAGAUUUUCCCAUGUCCAAUUGGAUGUUAACGGGAAAUGUCCAGUACUUCGGAAUGUACACACAUUUGAGCUGAGGAAAGCAAUCGCAUACCUGGCCACGCAUGUGACCAACAGUCUGCUUGUGUGUCCAGGUCAGCCUUGGUGCAUUGUGGGCUUGAACCCCCCACGUCCUAGCUUGACCUGUCAGUGUCCCCAAAGAGCUUUUUCAAGCCCCCAAAUGCGUACACCCCACUCCUCAUCCGGAGUACGACAGUGAACACAAAUGACUUAACAGCAAUGUUACGUCAGUGGACAUACAUGAACAAUAUUUUAUUUGCGUUUACCAAUAUAUUUUUAUUGUUUUUUUUUGUUGUUUUUGUUUUUUAAAUGCUGUUUGUUUUUGCUCCCCUAUCCCAUUUGCUGUUCUGUUGUCUUUUGCACUUCAGGGCCACCAUAGAAAUGCCUUCAUUCAUACAAUUACAUUUUGUCACUAUUAGUCAUAUUUUAUCUAUUUAAACCCGAAAAUGUAUGCUGGCCAGACGGCUUUGGGAUGACGAGUCCUUUUUUUUCUCACUUUUAUUCAAAUGGGGUUUCCUGUAUUGUAAACAAGAUUGGUUCAUAAAACAGACCAGACCGCAAGAGGAACAAAGUCAUCACACCCCCUGAAAUAUGCAAAGGUUGUGCGGGUGUGGGGGAGGGCGAAGGGGGUGUAAGGUAUUUGUCCUGUGGGCAGAGUGUGAAUUUGUUAGGUGAUUAAAGGCUAAAAAUAACCUCCUGGCUCUGCUCUGGACACUUCAGUGACAAACUUUUCCAGGAGUGCAGAACAACCUCCAAACCUCAACACGGGCGAGAUGGGCCGUCAUGUGAAUACUUGCUCGUCGGAGUGAAGUAGCGAUUGGUGGUGUUAAAAAUUGAACCGUUAAAACGCAUUUUCUUGAUCAAACAUGUCUCGACCGGGUUGUCAUCGCUAAGUGACCAUUUUCAAAAUUGUCUUUACAGGUCACCAUUUCAAGUGAAAAUUGGGGGCGGAGGGCGGGAGAAACGUCUUGACCAUACCAAGUUGUCAGCACCUACGGAAUUCCAGCAGUGCCUAUAAUGACCACGAGAGGGCAGUAUCACUUUGCAAAGACCUCUUUCCUCUUCCUGCCCCAGUACGAAGUUGUCUUCAAAGGGUGAGUAGUUUCACUUUUUGUUUGCUUUUUCUUCCCAGCACACCUCGGAGCCUAAUACAUGUUAAUAA